UCACCAGACAAUAACAUUAGAUGGUUGACUUCAAGCAAGAAACAUGAGCUCAUUAUUCUAAUCAUAAGACCUCAAACAAAUCUUGGCAGGCAUUUACGCAUGAUUUCCACUCUGGUUCACAUAUUAUAAGCCCAUUAUUAUGCUUGUCAAGGUGCUAUAACCUUUACCUUUUGUACAAAAUGUUCUAUCAUUCUAUGUACUCUUUACUUUGGAACAACUCCAGGAUAUGUCAUUUCAUUAAUUAAUCCAUUCUCUCAAUUCAUGAAAA
Long non-coding RNA from Populus euphratica (Euphrates poplar), 268 nucleotides. RefSeq lists it as uncharacterized. The record is from RefSeq and is a predicted model, not a curated record. The transcript has 2 exons. NCBI's taxonomy places the organism in Eukaryota, Viridiplantae, Streptophyta, Magnoliopsida, Malpighiales, Salicaceae.